AUUGAACGCUGGCGGCAGGCCUAACACAUGCAAGUCGGACGAGCGGCGGACGGGAGAGUAAUGUAUGGGGAUCUGCCUGAUGUCGGGGGAAAACUACUGGAAACGGUAGCUAAUACCGCAUUCCAUCAGAUGCACCCACAUGGCAUUAGCUAGUAGGUGAGGUAACGGCUUAUCUAGGCGACGAUCCCUGGCUGGUCUGAGAGGAUGAUCAGACACACGGGAACUGGGACACGGCCCAGACUCCUACGGGAGGCAGCAGUGGGGAAUAUUGCACAAUGGGCGCAAGCCUAAUGCAGCCAUGCCGCGUGUAUGAAGAAGGCCUUCGGGUUGUAAAGUACUUUCAGUCGGGAGGCGUUACCGACAGAGAAAGCACCGGCUAACUCCGUGCCAGCAGCCGCGGUAAUAC
Molecule: ribosomal RNA, 406 nt
Filed under: uncultured bacterium
Lineage: Bacteria
Description: partial 16S ribosomal RNA
Rfam family: Bacterial small subunit ribosomal RNA
Source: RNAcentral